RNAcentral lists this ribosomal RNA (285 nucleotides) under Priestia megaterium. RNAcentral describes it as "Bacillus megaterium partial 16S ribosomal RNA". It matches the Rfam family "Bacterial small subunit ribosomal RNA", at positions 565 to 848 of the family's 1533-position model. Lineage: Bacteria; Bacillati; Bacillota; Bacilli; Caryophanales; Bacillaceae. The record is from RNAcentral.
GCGCGCGCAGGCGGUUUCUUAAGUCUGAUGUGAAAGCCCACGGCUCAACCGUGGAGGGUCAUUGGAAACUGGGGAACUUGAGUGCAGAAGAGAAAAGCGGAAUUCCACGUGUAGCGGUGAAAUGCGUAGAGAUGUGGAGGAACACCAGUGGCGAAGGCGGCUUUUUGGUCUGUAACUGACGCUGAGGCGCGAAAGCGUGGGGAGCAAACAGGAUUAGAUACCCUGGUAGUCCACGCCGUAAACGAUGAGUGCUAAGUGUUAGAGGGUUUCCGCCCUUUAGUGCUG